This 170-nucleotide unclassified non-coding RNA is filed under the name uncultured fungus. RNAcentral describes it as "sequence contains ITS1, 5.8S rRNA gene". Lineage: Eukaryota; Fungi. The record is from RNAcentral.
UAACUAUUCGUCUUUUCUUCAGAAGGCAUAGGUAUCUGAGUUUUGGUCUUCCGGCAGGCGUUACUGUAGGCCCGCCCUGGGCCCGCCUGCCGAAGCAACUGCCGAGAGUUCACAAGGGUUUGGAGCUUUGCAACUCGGUAAUGAUCCCUCCGCUGGUUCACCAACGGAGA